GGCUUCUUCUUCAGGUAAAUUCAUCAACUUGAUAAGUCCUUGAAGAACUUGCUGAUCAUGCCUGGUAAUUAUUCUAAUCUGCAAAACUUUUUCUGGAGUCACUAUCACUGUAUCAUCCUGGAAAAGAGGUAGAUCCUGAACAAUCAUAGUAUUGUCGCCAACCUUUUUCUUUAAUAACGAAACAUGAAACACAGGAUGUACAGUGGAAUUAGGGGGUAGUUUCAGUUUGUAAGCCACAGUACCAACUUUAGCUUCCACCUGAAAAGGCCCAUAAUACCUUGCUGCCAGCUUGAAGUUUUUCCUUAAGGCUAUAGAACUCUGUUUGUAGGGUUGUAAUUUAAGAUACACCCA
Molecule: unclassified non-coding RNA, 351 nt
Filed under: Hevea brasiliensis (rubber tree)
Lineage: Eukaryota; Viridiplantae; Streptophyta; Magnoliopsida; Malpighiales; Euphorbiaceae
Source: RNAcentral